Molecule: long non-coding RNA, 4934 nt
Filed under: Sus scrofa (pig)
Lineage: Eukaryota; Metazoa; Chordata; Mammalia; Artiodactyla; Suidae
Description: lncRNA (ENSSSCG00000052256.1)
Source: RNAcentral
UGUGGCACAUGGAAAUUCCCAGGCUAGGGAUUGAAUCUGAGCUACAACUGCCAGCCACAGGCACAGCAACACCAGAUUCAAGCCACAUUUGCAACCUAUACCAUAGGUCAGAGCAAAGCCGGAUCCCCAAUCCAAUAAGUGAAGCUAUGAAUUGAACCCUCAUCCUCAUGGAUACUAGUGGGUUCAUAACCUGCUGAGCCACAGCAGGAACUCCUCAACUACUCUUUGAAUAGCAGCUGAUGUAGAAUCACUCAGUAGAUUGCAGCUAUUAUUACUGAAAUGUAGUCCAAAAACAGUGAGCCAGGACUGGAGAGAAGUAAGAUUCUGAGCAAGGCAUGCUACUUGUCAUUAUGAUGGUCUUCUAGCUGACCUCCUAGGAACUCAUAAUAAACUCUGAGGAUCGGAAUCUACAAAAAUAAAUGAAAAUGGAAGCCAAAUGAAUCAUUUUGUGAUAAGAUUUAGGAGAAAGUUGCAAGGAAAAAAGGGUUCCUACUUGGUAGAUGAUGACACUGAUCUCAACAUUAGUCAACAGGUUCCCCUUCGGUACUGUCAUUGACUCAAAUCAACAAUAGUGCCUUGAGGUGAAAACAGGUGACACGUGUCUAUUUACCAUUGGUAGCAAAGGAGACAUGACCCUAACAAAGACAGAAGUCGAAAAUGUAAGAUAAAGCUCAGGAGAAAUUUCCCAAAAUUCUCAAAGUAGAAAUUCAGAAGGUCUCUGCCUGAUGCUGGGGACAGUGCUACAGAGAAAUAAUGUUUUGUGGCCCUUAUUUCCAAUCCAUGUUUUAGUUGGUGAGAAUAAUGAUGAUUUCCUAUAAAAAUCCAGAAUCAACUCAUUCAACAGAUAUUUAUGGAAAAGCUACAAUGUGCCAGUGGAGGCCAGAUAGAUUAUAUCAUCGUAACAAAGUGCCCCCAAGUCUCACUGAUUUACAACAACAAAGGUCAUUCAUCAUUUAUGCUCUAGGUCUCAUGUGGUCCACAAUGGCUGUGCUCUGCUACCAUCUUCACUUAGGAGACCAUGGAGGAGCCACUGGAGGAGCUUCCAUGAAGUAUACUGAUGGUCUUCUGAUAAAAAAGAGAAAGGGUGAAGCACCAGCUGAACAAUCAAGCACUUGUUUGCUCAAGUGCUACAUGUCAGCUUCUCCCACCACCUUCUGAGUUCAACAGAAUGGGAUACAUAGCCUCUAAAGAGUGGGGCACUAGGGGAGGGGUGGUGGACAUGAAUUUUCAGCCAAAGACAACACAAUCUACCUGCCAUGGUAUCUAUCCUCACUGGUUUUAGUCUAGUAGGAUUUCAUUUAGUCAUAUUAGUAUUAAACAGGAUACUAAAUGGAGUAAAUAUUCAAACGUCAGUGAAAGCACAAAUGCGAUAAUACAAAGGCAGUGUGUUUUUAAGUUUUAAUUGCUUGAGGCUCUUUGGAAUUGAAGAUCAUAUGAGUUCAGGGUCCUAGGAUUCAGAAAUGAUUCCAGAUUCGUUCAUCAUUCCCCAAAGGAAAAGCAAUAAUAAGUAGGAUACCAGACAUUUAUGCAAUCUCUCUGAGAUCAUAAAGGUUGACUCAGGAAAGUUUUCAAAAGGCAGAAAUAUUUAUAAUUUCUUUGCAGUAGUUUUAUUCAGUAAAUACAGCAUCAUUCAUGGCCUGGAGACAUACCACCUUGGGUUGCAGUCCUGGCAGGUAUCAUAGAUGCUGCAAGGUUGGGCAGGUUAAAUUCUUACUGGGAAGACUUUUUUGGAACACCCAAGGAUUAUGAAAUGUAUUUCUGUCUUUCAGAUGAGAUUUUAUUCUGAGUUUUUCUUGUUCAGUGACCCUUCCUAACUACACAUAGGAUACUUUUCAUUCAUUUGCCUUAGCCAAUUUUAUUGUCCACAAUCCCAGAUUUUUGUAACUGAAUUUGUCUUGCCCUUUACUGAAUUUAAAUAGAUGGGAUGGUCUCUUUUUAGACUUCUGCAACUAUUUGUAGACCUUUGCCUUCACAUGUUUGAAAUAAAUGUGAGACAUUAAUUUUAGUCCGACAACACUGAGCCCAAUUCACUUGGGAAAAUGCAUUUCAAUGUGCAAUUUAUCAUUCAGGAACUGUCCACUAGUUUGUUACUCCCUGAGAGUAAAUUAGGCGUUUUUGAAAGGUGCAUUAAACUCUUCCUGGCUACUAGGCACCAUUUAGGGCUGUGGGGCAAUAAUUUACUUAAUGGUACCUUGGUGACCUCAAAAAGUUUAUGUUGUUUUGAAAGUUCUUAAUUUUCUUCCACAAAAUAAUUUAUGCACUAGGAGGUUAGAUAUGCUUACAAAUAUGUUUCCAGACAGGCUACAACAACUGAAUAGAAUACAUAAGCUAACAUUGUCAUGCUGAUGUAUAAAUGAAGUCUUUUAUAAAUGUGUUAUCUAUCCUAUCCACACAAUAGAUGGAUAUCUCACAAACAAUUAUUUCUUUGGGUUUCUUUUUUUUUACUUACAAGCCUGUCUUACAUUUUAUUGUUACUAGUAAUGCUUCAUAGCUAUAAGGAAUUCCAGAUCCAUAUCACUGCAUUUUUCCAGAGCACAAAAUACAUUUAGCCAAAGUUAGGAUAAAGUGCCAAAUAUCCUCAGAGUUCUGACACAACUUACAUCCUGUUUCUUCCUUGAUUCUCAGCAGAGCUUCAUCCAUAUUAAAUAAAUUAAUUGUUACAUUGUAAUCCCUACCACUUCAGUCACUCAUUUCCUAAAGUGCCUCAAAUUGAGCUUGACCCACCAAGUCAGGUAAAAGUGAUAUGCUUUAGAUUUUGCUUUCACUCAGGGGAAAUAAUGGCUGAUAAAUGAAAUAUGGCAUUCCUCAAUUCUAAGGCGAAAAGAUUUUCACAUUUUAAUGUUUCUAAAAUGUAGAUGUAUUUUAUGAUUAUUGUGUUUAAUAAUAAUUUUAUUACCUAAGUUUAUUUGGUAGCAUUUUUCUCUCUUAUUGUCAUAAAAUGAUGGUCCCUCAUAAUUGAUGGAAUAUUAUAUUUUUGAAAUAUAGUAGGGCAGUUUCCUUUAGAAAUUUGAAUUUAUAAAGACCUGGAUGAAAAUAGUUUUAAGAUGAUGAAAAUAUUGCCAUUAAGAAGAGCAGAAACUGGUAACAGGCUGAUACCCAUUUCAGCUAACACUGUCCCUCUGAAGAUGAAUUUAUCCCUACUACUUAGAUAUUUGAAAAUAUUUGAAGGGGGUAGAAACUGAACAUUAUAUGGAAGUAAAAACCAGUGUAAAAUUUUAAAGGAAUAUAUUUAUGCCAUAAUAAAUCAGUUGAAGUAAUAACUUGCCAGUGAAGCAGAGUUUGGAGAGAAGCACUGACCCAACAAAGCAUGUUUACCACGAAUAUAUUUCAUUUCGUCAGAAGACAACUGUAAAGGAAUGUCUUUUUCACAAUUACUCUACUCACAUCAUCUCAAUUGCAUCUACUAUGGACCUUUUUGGAUGGAACAUAGAGUUCCUAUUGUCCAUAACAAUAAAGAAAGGAGUGAGGGUUAGAGGCAUAGGAAACAAGAAAAAAGAGGGGAAAGGAGGAAGGAAGGAAAGAAGAAAAUUAGAAAUAAAAGGAAGAAAUUUUACAAUUAAGAUAUGUAAUUCUUGAAAUUGAUGUUACCCUGAAUUUAAAAAGAUAUUUGUCUAUUUAUGCUACACAUUUUUAUCAACAGAUAACAAAAAAUAGAACAAAUGGACUUCAUUCUCUUAGUAAAAUGUGAUGCCUAUUAGACUUUGCUGGCUGCAAUAUCCCAAAGUACCAACAUACAACUGGGGAAUCCCACUUCUGAUACACAAAAUGUCAAAAUGAGUACUCAAUAUGGAGCUCCUUGUAUAGUGCACUUUUCAGUAGAGAUAUUAUUCAGAUUUAAACAAAUAUCUAUGUCAUUAUUAAAUUUUCAAAUGGAAUACAGGUAGUGGAAUGCCAUUUGAAUUUAAGUCCUGGAGUACAACAAAUCUGCAAACUAUUAUAUGAUAGGACUUUUUUACAUGUCUAUAUACCUGUGCAGAAUAAACUCAAUUUUCUUUGUGAAGGGAGGGGUUAGGAUAUACAUGACAAUAGUGGAGGCUCUGAGGCCUCUGUUCUGCUCUAGCAAACAUCACAACACAGCUUCACACUGAAGUUGAGUCUAUGAAUGUAUUCCAACUCUGAAAACAAUUAAUGUGUAUAUAUCUAAAAGUUCUGCCUUUGCCUGAAAUUACUCUUCAGAGUAUCUUAUUUUUAUAAUAUUUAAAUAGUAAAAAUAAGUAACAUGAUUAAGAAAGUCCCAACAUUAUUGGAAAUUCGUGGAAAUCAUGUAACAUUUUUUCUUAGGAUUCACUUCUAUUGACACUAUUAAUCUAUCAGUACCUUGUGAGAAUGACCAGGGUCUGGUGGCAGGCAGCAAAAACAUUAAUUUUGAAAAAACAUGACAUUCAAAAUCACAUUUGUACUUACUCCCUUUCAAACAUCCAGCAAAUUGCAUUAUGUUCAUAAAAUAAAUGAUAAUAGUGUUUACUUUUAUAGUUUUUGAUAAGAUUAAAUGAGCUCAUGUAUGUAAAGCUUCUGGAACAUCAAGUGUGUUCAAUCAUUGGUUACUUAAAAUAAGUACCAUAGUAACUGAAGAGUAGUACUAGCUUACUUUUUAGUUCUCUGUGGCUAGAAUCUACUUGAUGGUUUUCUUCUAAUUUCUCCAUAAGUUUUACGAGCAUUCAGUAAUGCAACUAAAUAAGUAUUUAUGGAGUAAUAUAAAUCUAGAGAGGAUGGACAUGAUAAAGGGUCUCCCAAAGAAGUGCACAUAGGGCAUGUUGACAUGUCAGUAGAUAUUCACACAAGAAGAACCCUGUACCUUUAUUUUGCUGCCUUAGCAAGCACUGUGGGACUCAUGACAAAACUGUGGUGGGAAAGAUAAAUGAUAGCAGGCAUCAUAAAACCACUGAUGAGAAACAUCCAGAAAGAGGAGCUUGAAAAUACUACCUAAAAUACAG